Molecule: ribosomal RNA, 562 nt
Filed under: Laides longibarbis
Lineage: Eukaryota; Metazoa; Chordata; Actinopteri; Siluriformes; Ailiidae
Description: partial 16S ribosomal RNA
Rfam family: Bacterial large subunit ribosomal RNA
Source: RNAcentral
CGCCUCCUGCAAAACAACAUAUAGGAGGUCUUACCUGCCCAGUGACAAGUUAAACGGCCGCGGUAUUUUGACCGUGCGAAGGUAGCGCAAUCACUUGUCUUUUAAAUGAAGACCUGUAUGAAUGGUAGAACGAGGGCUUAACUGUCUCCCCUUUCAAGUCAAUGAAAUUGAUCUGCCCGUGCAGAAGCGGACAUAAAAAUACAAGACGAGAAGACCCUUUGGAGCUUAAGAUACAAAAUCAACUAUGUCAAGAACUAUAAAUAAGUCAAACUAAAUAGCACAUGAUUCUAAUCUUCGGUUGGGGCGACCGCGGGAGAAAACCAAGCUCCCAUGAGGACUGGGGUAAACCCUUAAAACUAAGAAAGACAUUUCCAAGUCACAGAACAUCUGACCAUAAAGAUCCGGACACACCGAUCAACGAACCAAGUUACCCUAGGGAUAACAGCGCAAUCCCCUUCCAGAGUCCAUAUCGACAAGGGGGUUUACGACCUCGAUGUUGGAUCAGGACAUCCUAAUGGUGCAGCCGCUAUUAAGGGUUCGUUUGUUCAACGAUUAAAGUCCU